GUAACAGUGUAGCAGCCUUGGGGGUGAAGAGAGAAGCGGUCAAAACCCACAAAUCGUAAACUGUUCAGCCUUCUUUCAGUUGAAACUCGGCCAGAAACUAGCUAAACUAACCAGCUCGUUGUGGAUAAAAUGGCUUGGAUAUUCUAAUUCCUUGGAUUUUUGGCGAUCUUUCACCGCUGUGAAUAAAGACACGAGGAAAAAGAGCAACACAUCACAUAUCAGAGAAAUAGAGGACACCUACCUUGCACGCUAUUUACCAGUGAAUGCGGAUUUCUGCGAGGCAAUACUGCCUGGACCAACAAAACGAGAAGACAACCGCUCAAAGAUGUCCCUUCUUGAAAUGCUGCGAAAGAGAAUGACGGCAACAGCAAGACACAGUAAGGAAUCUGAACAGGAAACUUGGCCCGCAAGAGAAGCAAGAGCUGAUCCAUCUAAACAUGCAUUGAAGACUUGAGUUAGGGUGGAAAAACAAGUGAGAAAUCGCUUUGGUGGGGGCACCCGGGUACUUGACAUAACCAAGGAUUCAUCUAAAAAAGACUUUACGUCUCGUGCAAAAGAACUGCUUUUUCAC
Long non-coding RNA from Etheostoma spectabile (orangethroat darter), 571 nucleotides. RefSeq lists it as uncharacterized. The record is from RefSeq and is a predicted model, not a curated record. Lineage: Eukaryota; Metazoa; Chordata; Actinopteri; Perciformes; Percidae. The transcript has 2 exons.